Molecule: ribosomal RNA, 502 nt
Filed under: uncultured bacterium
Lineage: Bacteria
Description: partial 16S ribosomal RNA
Rfam family: Bacterial small subunit ribosomal RNA
Source: RNAcentral
GACGAACGCUGGCGGCGUGCUUAACACAUGCAAGUCGAACGGUGAAGGGGUCUGCUUUUGUGGGCCCUGGAUGAAUGGCGAACGGGUGAGUAACACGUGAGUAACCUGCCCCCUUCUUCUGGAUAACCGCAUGAAAGUGUGGCUAAUACGGGAUAUUCUGGGUCUGUCGCAUGAUGGGUCUGGGAAAGAUUGCGCCUUUGGGUGUUUUUGGUGGGGGAUGGGCUCGCGGCCUAUCAGCUUGUUGGUGGGGUGAUGGCCUACCAAGGCGGUGACGGGUAGCCGGCCUGAGAGGGUGGACGGUCACACUGGGACUGAGACACGGCCCAGACUCCUACGGGAGGCAGCAGUGGGGAAUAUUGCACAAUGGGCGCAAGCCUGAUGCAGCGACGCCGCGUGAGGGAUGGAGGCCUUCGGGUUGUAAACCUCUUUCGCCAGUGAAGCAGGCCUGCUCCUUGUGGGUGGGUUGACGGUAGCUGGAUAAGAAGCGCCGGCUAACUACGUG